Molecule: ribosomal RNA, 261 nt
Filed under: uncultured prokaryote
Description: partial 16S ribosomal RNA
Rfam family: Bacterial small subunit ribosomal RNA
Source: RNAcentral
UACGUAGGUGGCAAGCGUUAUCCGGAAUUAUUGGGCGUAAAGAGCGCGCAGGUGGUUGAUUAAGUCUGAUGUGAAAGCCCACGGCUUAACCGUGGAGGGUCAUUGGAAACUGGUCGACUUGAGUGCAGAAGAGGGAAGUGGAAUUCCAUGUGCAGCGGUGAAAUGCGUAGAGAUAUGGAGGAACACCAGUGGCGAAGGCGGCUUCCUGGUCUGUAACUGACACUGAGGCGCGAAAGCGUGGGGAGCAAACAGGAUUAGAUA